RNAcentral lists this ribosomal RNA (250 nucleotides) under uncultured prokaryote. Its description in RNAcentral is "partial 16S ribosomal RNA". It matches the Rfam family "Bacterial small subunit ribosomal RNA", at positions 524 to 771 of the family's 1533-position model. The record is from RNAcentral.
UACGUAGGUGGCGAGCGUUAUCCGGAUUGACUGGGUGUAAAGAGUUGCGUAGGUGGCAGGGUAAGUAGAUAGUGAAAUCUGGUGGCUCAACCAUUCAGACUAUUAUCUAAACUGCUCCGCUCGAGAACGUUAGGGGUAGCUGGAAUUUCUAGUGUAGGAGUGAAAUCCGUAGAUAUUAGAAAGAACACCGAUAGCGUAGGCAGGCUACUGGGACGUUUCUGGCACUAAGGCACGAAAGCGUAGGGAGCAA